UCGCGUGCGUGGGAGGCGGCGGACUGCUCGGGGGUCUCGCAGCGGCCCAGCGUCCCGGCGAUCGUCUCGUCGGCGCGGAGCCCA
Molecule: transfer RNA, 84 nt
Filed under: Mycobacteroides abscessus subsp. abscessus
Lineage: Bacteria; Bacillati; Actinomycetota; Actinomycetes; Mycobacteriales; Mycobacteriaceae
Description: tRNA-Cys(gca)
Source: RNAcentral